GUCGCACCGCCCCCUUGGCCUCUACUUCGUAGUUGUCCGUACGACGACUGCUCCUUACGUUUGAAAAGCUUGCGAUUUCUGCCACUUAGCCUCCGUCCGCGUCUUUGAAGAAAGCUAUCGUAUCCACGCAACUUCGUAGUAGUGGCCUCACUUAGUGAAAUUGGAUACUAAGUUGUUUCUUCCUUACUUAGCCAAAUCUCGGCUCCUUUCCUAUCGUAUCACCCACUUCAAUCAAUCCGGCCUUCGUAACUUGGUAAAUCUUAAACC
Molecule: long non-coding RNA, 267 nt
Filed under: Phoenix dactylifera (date palm)
Lineage: Eukaryota; Viridiplantae; Streptophyta; Magnoliopsida; Arecales; Arecaceae
Description: long non-coding RNA (PDAC_LNC019149)
Source: RNAcentral